GUAGGUGGGGUAACGGCUCACCUAGGCGACGAUCCCUAGCUGGUCUGAGAGGAUGACCAGCCACACUGGAACUGAGACACGGUCCAGACUCCUACGGGAGGCAGCAGUGGGGAAUAUUGCACAAUGGGCGCAAGCCUGAUGCAGCCAUGCCGCGUGUAUGAAGAAGGCCUUCGGGUUGUAAAGUACUUUCAGCGGGGAGGAA
Molecule: ribosomal RNA, 202 nt
Filed under: Escherichia coli
Lineage: Bacteria; Pseudomonadati; Pseudomonadota; Gammaproteobacteria; Enterobacterales; Enterobacteriaceae
Also listed under: 2 other names
Description: partial 16S ribosomal RNA
Rfam family: Bacterial small subunit ribosomal RNA
Source: RNAcentral